RNAcentral lists this ribosomal RNA (3348 nucleotides) under Triticum aestivum (bread wheat). RNAcentral's name for it is "partial small subunit ribosomal RNA". The record is from RNAcentral. Lineage: Eukaryota; Viridiplantae; Streptophyta; Magnoliopsida; Poales; Poaceae.
AUGGAGAUGGUGGAGAAGCUUUCUCUCACCACAAGACCACAUCCACAUCCUUACUACAUCCAAUGGUUCAACAACAGCGGCAAGGUUAAGGUAACACGUACUGUUCGUGUGCAUUUUAGUAUCUCUACAUAUGCUGAUUAUGUUGAUUGUGAUGUGGUACCUAUGCAAGCAUGUUCCUUAUUACUUGGUAGACCAUGGCAAUUUGAUAAAAAUUCUGUACACCAUGGUAGAAACAAUCACUAUACUCUUGUUCAUAAGGAUAAAAAUAUUACUUUGCUUCCUAUGACUCCUGAUUCCAUUUUGAAAGAUGAUAUGAAUAGAGCUAAUAAAGCACAACAGGAGAAGAAUAAGAGUGAAAAUCAGAUUGUGGCAAAAGAAUUUGAGCAACAAAUGAAGCCUAAUAAUAAACCAUCUAGUGUUGCUUCUGAAAUUAAAUUGAAAAGUGCAUGUUUAUUUGCCACCAAAUCUGAUAUUGAUGAGCUAGAUUUCAGCAAAUCUGUUUGCUAUGCUUUUGUGUGCAAAGAGGCAUUAUUUUCAUUCGAGGACGUGCCUUCCUCUUUGCCUCCUGCUGUUACUAACAUUUUGCAGGAGUUCGCUGACGUUUUUCCACAAGACGUGCCACCGGGAUUACCGCCUAUUCGAGGGAUUGAGCAUCAGAUUGACUUAAUUCCCGGUGCUUCACUACCAAACCGUGCACCAUACCGUACCAAUCCAGAGGAGACGAAGGAGAUUAUGCGUCAAGUACAAGAGCUUCUCGACAAAGGUUAUAUACGCGAAUCCCUUAGUCCUUGUGCUGUUCCUAUUAUUCUAGUGCCGAAAAAGGAUGGUACAUCACGUAUGUGUGUUGAUUGUAGAGGCAUUAAUAAUAUUACUAUUCGUUAUCGUCAUCCUAUUCCUAGGCUAGAUGAUAUGCUUGAUGAAUUGAGUGGCUCUACAAUAUUCUCCAAAGUUGAUUUGCGUAGUGGCUACCAUCAAAUUCGUAUGAAAUUGGGAGAUGAAUGGAAAACAGCAUUUAAAACUAAGUUUGGAUUAUAUGAGUGGUUAGUCAUGCCUUUUGGGUUAACUAAUGCACCUAGUACUUUCAUGAGAUUAAUGAACGAAGUUUUACGUGCUUUCAUUGGACGAUUUGUGGUAGUUUACUUUGAUGACAUAUUGAUUUAUAGCAGAUCUUUGGAAGAACAUUUGGAACAUUUACGUGCUGUUUUUAUUGCUCUACGUGAUGCACGUUUGUUUGGUAACCUUGGGAAGUGCACCUUUUGCACCGACCGAGUAUCUUUUUUUGGCUAUGUUGUUACUCCACAGGGAAUUGAAGUUGAUAAAGCCAAGAUUGAAGCUAUUGAGAGUUGGCCGCAGCCCAAAACGGUCACACAAGUGAGGAGUUUUCUUGGCCUCGCUGAAUUCUAUAGGCGUUUUGUGAGAGAUUUCAGCACCAUUGCUGCACCUCUCAAUGAGCUUACAAAGAAAGAUGUGCCUUUUCUUUGGGGUACCGCACAGGAAGAAGCCUUCACGGUAUUGAAAGAUAAGUUGACACAUGCUCCUUUACUCCAACUUCCUGAUUUUAAUAAGACUUUUGAGCUUGAAUGUGAUGCUAGUGGAAUUGGAUUAGGCGGUGUGUUAUUACAAGAUGGCAAACCUGUUGCAUACUUUUCUGAAAAAUUGAGUGGGCCUAGUCUGAAUUAUUCUACUUAUGAUAAAGAAUUAUAUGCUCUUGUUCGGACUUUAGAAACAUGGCAACAUUAUUUAUGGCCCAAAGAAUUUGUUAUACAUUCUGAUCAUGAAUCUUGGAAACAUAUUAAAAGUCAAGCUAAACUGAACCGUAGACAUGCUAAAUGGGUUGAAUUCAUUGAGACUUUUCCUUAUGUCAUUAAACACAAGAAGGGAAAAGAAAAUGUUAUUGCUGAUGCAUUGUCUCGCCGCUAUACUAUGCUUUCACAACUUGACUUCAAAAUAUUUGGUUUGGAAACCAUCAAAGAUCAAUAUGUGCAUGAUGCUGAUUUUAAAGAUGUAAUGCAGAAUUGUAAAGAAGGAAGAAUGUGGAACAAGUUUGUUGUUAACGAUGGAUUUGUGUUUCGUGCUAACAAGCUAUGCAUUCCAGCUAGCUCCGUUCGUCUUUUGUUGUUGCAGGAGGCGCAUGGAGGAGGAUUAAUGGGACACUUUGGCGUGAAGAAGACGGAGGACGUACUUGCUACACAUUUCUUUUGGCCAAAGAUGAGACGGGAUGUUGAGCGUUUUAUUGCUCGCUGCACUACAUGUCAAAAAGCUAAGUCACGCCUCAAUCCUCAUGGUUUAUAUAUGCCUUUGCCUGUACCUAGUGUUCCUUGGGAGGAUUUAUCUAUGGACUUUGUUUUAGGUUUACCUCGAACAAAGAAGGGGAGGGAUAGCAUAUUUGUUGUCGUGGAUAGAUUCUCGAAAAUGGCACACUUUAUACCAUGUCAUAAAAGCGAUGAUGCUAUUAAUGUUGCUGAUUUGUUCUUUCGUGAAAUUAAUCGUGAUACUAAAUUUCUUAGCCACUUUUGGAGAUGUUUAUGGGCUAAGUUGGGGACUAAACUGCUUUUUAGUACUACUUGUCACCCCCAAACUGAUGGACAAACUGAAGUAGUCAAUAGAACGUUGUCUACUAUGCUUAGGGCUGUUUUGAAGAAUAAUAAGAAAAUGUGGGAGGAAUGCUUGCCUCAUAUUGAAUUUGCUUAUAAUCGUUCAUUGCAUUCUACUACUAAGAUGUGCCCUUUUGAAGUUGUGUAUGGUUUCCUACCUCGUGCACCUAUUGAUUUGUUGCCUCUUCCAUCUUCGGAGAAGGUUAAUUUUGAUGCUAAACAACGUGCUGAAUUGAUUUUAAAAAUGCAUGAGUUAACUAAGGAAAACAUUGAGCGCAUGAAUGCUAAAUAUAAACUUGCUGGACAUAAGGGUAGAAAACAUGUUGUGUUUGCACCUGGAGAUCUUGUUUGGUUACAUUUGCGUCAGGAUAGAUUUCCUGAUUUGCGCAAAUCAAAGCUAAUGCCACGUGCUGAUGGUCCCUUUAAGGUGUUAGAGAAAAUAAAUGAUAAUGCAUAUAAACUUGAGCUGCCUGCAGAUUUUGGGAUUAGUCCCACUUUUAACAUUGCAGAUUUGAAGCCUUAUUUGGGUGAGGAAGAUGAACUUCCGUCGAGGACGACUUCAUUUCAAGAAGGGGAGGAUGAUGAGGACAUCAAUACAAUUGUUACACCCACAGCCCCUGCUGCUAUACAUACUGGACCAAUUACUAGAGCCCGUGCACGCCAACUAAAUUACCAGUUUCUUGCUUGUUCUUCGUUUGCUCGCAGGAAACAGACCCACGUGGUCAGGUUGAUCAUGCUCCGGCGUGGUCAAUAA